RNAcentral lists this ribosomal RNA (388 nucleotides) under uncultured bacterium. RNAcentral describes it as "partial 16S ribosomal RNA". It matches the Rfam family "Bacterial small subunit ribosomal RNA", at positions 523 to 918 of the family's 1533-position model. The record is from RNAcentral.
AUACGUAGGUGGCAAGCGUUAUCCGGAAUUAUUGGGCGUAAAGAGUGAGCAGGCGGUUAAUCAAGUCUGAGGUUAAAGCGUGGGGCUCAACCCCAUAAAGCCUUGGAAACUGAUUGACUAGAGUACGGGAGAAGUGAAGGGAACUCCAUGUGUAGCGGUGAAAUGCGCAGAUAUAUGGAAGAACACCAGUGGCGAAGGCGCUUCACUAGCCCGAAACUGACGCUCAGUCACGAAAGCGUGGGUAGCAAAUAGGAUUAGAUACCCUAGUAGUCCACGCUGUAAACGAUGACAACUAAAUAUUGCCGCGAGGCAGUGUUGAAGCUAACGCAUUAAGUUGUCCGCCUGGGGAGUACGGUCGCAAGACUGAAACUUAAAGGAAUUGACGGGG